CGAUGAUGCCCAGCUUGCUGGGUGGAUUAGUGGCGAACGGGUGAGUAACACGUGAGUAACCUGCCCCUGACUCUGGGAUAAGCGUUGGAAACGACGUCUAAUACUGGAUAUGAUCACUGGCCGCAUGGUCUGGUGGUGGAAAGAUUUUUUGGUUGGGGAUGGACUCGCGGCCUAUCAGCUUGUUGGUGAGGUAAUGGCUCACCAAGGCGACGACGGGUAGCCGGCCUGAGAGGGUGACCGGCCACACUGGGACUGAGACACGGCCCAGACUCCUACGGGAGGCAGCAGUGGGGAAUAUUGCACAAUGGGCGAAAGCCUGAUGCAGCAACGCCGCGUGAGGGAUGACGGCCUUCGGGUUGUAAACCUCUUUUAGUAGGGAAGAAGCGAAAGUGACGGUACCUGCAGAAAAAGCACCGGCUAACUACGUGCCAGCAGC
This 436-nucleotide ribosomal RNA is filed under the name Curtobacterium sp. Its description in RNAcentral is "bacterial SSU rRNA". It matches the Rfam family "Bacterial small subunit ribosomal RNA", at positions 67 to 515 of the family's 1533-position model. The record is from RNAcentral. Lineage: Bacteria; Bacillati; Actinomycetota; Actinomycetes; Micrococcales; Microbacteriaceae.